This 445-nucleotide ribosomal RNA is filed under the name uncultured bacterium. RNAcentral's name for it is "partial 16S ribosomal RNA". It matches the Rfam family "Bacterial small subunit ribosomal RNA", at positions 354 to 796 of the family's 1533-position model. The record is from RNAcentral.
GUGAGGAAUAUUGGACAAUGGGCGCAAGCCUGAUCCAGCCAUGCCGCGUGCAGGAAGACGCAUCUAUGGUGUGUAAACUGCUUUUGUACGGGAAGAAACACUCCCUCGUGAGGGAGCUUGACGGUACCGUAAGAAUAAGGAUCGGCUAACUCCGUGCCAGCAGCCGCGGUAAUACGGAGGAUCCAAGCGUUAUCCGGAAUCAUUGGGUUUAAAGGGUCCGUAGGCGGUAUAAUAAGUCAGUGGUGAAAGCCCAUCGCUCAACGAUGGAACGGCCAUUGAUACUGUUAGACUUGAAUUACAAGGAAGUAACUAGAAUAUGUAGUGUAGCGGUGAAAUGCUUAGAUAUUACAUGGAAUACCAAUUGCGAAGGCAGGUUACUACUUGUGGAUUGACGCUGAUGGACGAAAGCGUGGGGAGCGAACAGGAUUAGAAACCCGUGUAGUCC